Molecule: ribosomal RNA, 493 nt
Filed under: uncultured bacterium
Lineage: Bacteria
Description: partial 16S ribosomal RNA
Rfam family: Bacterial small subunit ribosomal RNA
Source: RNAcentral
AGUGAACGCUGGCGGUAGGCCUAACACAUGCAAGUCGAACGGCAGCACAGUAAGAGCUUGCUCUUACGGGUGGCGAGUGGCGGACGGGUGAGGAAUACAUCGGAAUCUACUUUUUCGUGGGGGAUAACGUAGGGAAACUUACGCUAAUACCGCAUACGACCUACGGGUGAAAGCAGGGGAUCUUCGGACCUUGCGCGAUUGAAUGAGCCGAUGUCGGAUUAGCUAGUUGGCGGGGUAAAGGCCCACCAAGGCGACGAUCCGUAGCUGGUCUGAGAGGAUGAUCAGCCACACUGGGACUGGGACACGGUCCAGACUCCUACGGGAGGCAGCAGUGGGGAAUAUUGGACAAUGGGCGCAAGCCUGAUCCAGCCAUACCGCGUGGGUGAAGAAGGCCUUCGGGUUGUAAAGCCCUUUUGUUGGGAAAGAAAAGCAGCAGGUUAAUACCCCGCUGUUCUGACGGUACCCAAAGAAUAAGCACCGGCUAACUUCGUGC